This 396-nucleotide ribosomal RNA is filed under the name uncultured bacterium. Its description in RNAcentral is "partial 16S ribosomal RNA". It matches the Rfam family "Bacterial small subunit ribosomal RNA", at positions 523 to 918 of the family's 1533-position model. The record is from RNAcentral.
AUACGUAGGUGGCGAGCGUUGUCCGGAUUUACUGGGUGUAAAGGGCGCGUAGGCGGGGGAGCAAGUCAGAUGUGAAAUCCAUGGGCUUAACCCAUGAACUGCAUUUGAAACUGUUUCUCUUGAGUGUCGGAGAGGUAGAUGGAAUUCCUAGUGUAGCGGUGAAAUGCGUAGAUAUUAGGAGGAACACCAGUGGCGAAGGCGAUCUACUGGACGAUAACUGACGCUGAGGCGCGAAAGCGUAGGGAGCAAACAGGAUUAGAUACCCUGGUAUGCCACGCCGUAAACGAUGAAUACUAGGUGUGGGGGGACUGACCCCCUCCGUGCCGCAGUUAACACAAUAAGUAUUCCACCUGGGGAGUACGGCCGCAAGGUUGAAACUCAAAUGAAUUGACGGGG